AAAAAUGACGGUACCUUAGGAGGAAGCCCCGGCUAACUACGUGCCAGCAGCCGCGGUAAUACGUAGGGGCAAGCGUUAUCCGGAAUCACUGGGCGUAAAGGGUGCGUAGGCGGCUUAGCAAGCCAGGGGUGAAAAGGCAUUGGCUCAAACCAAUGUAAAGCCUUUGGAAACUGUUAGGCUUGAGUGCAGGAGAGGUAAGUGGAAUUCCUAGUGUAGAGGUGAAAAUUCGUAGAUAUUAGGAGGAACACCAGUGGCGAAGGCGACUUACUGGACUGUAACUGACGCUGAUGCACGAAAGCGUGGGUAGCGAACAGGAUUAGAUACCCUGGUAG
Molecule: ribosomal RNA, 332 nt
Filed under: uncultured bacterium
Lineage: Bacteria
Description: bacterial SSU rRNA
Rfam family: Bacterial small subunit ribosomal RNA
Source: RNAcentral